AUCAAAUAACAAACAAACACCAUACACAACCCACAAGAAAACACAAAAAAAACCCUAAACCCAAACCUAAAACCGAAUACCCAAACACAAAUCCAAAUACCCAAACCCACAAUAAACGAACUUACCUUCGUCCACCGAUGCUCGAUUCCGGAACUUGCCAUUUCAGAGCAGUGGAGAGCAAGGGAGACGACGAGACUAUGGAGAAGAGUAGUCCGUUAGCAAGGGAGACGACGAUAACUGUGAGAGAGAAACGAGAGAAACCUCACAUUCAAACUCAAAAUGCUCAGGGGUAAAAAAGGGAAACAAAAACUAUCUAAAACUCUGCAUUUUUCAAACCAAAUUUAAAAAAAAAAAAAAAACAUAUUGGCCAAUAGCAUGUUGACACGUGGCAGUGUCAAAUGAGUGUCAAUUCUAUGGUGUCAAAAUAAUGGGAUCC
This 436-nucleotide long non-coding RNA is filed under the name Vigna radiata. RNAcentral describes it as "long non-coding RNA (VRAD_LNC017345)". Lineage: Eukaryota; Viridiplantae; Streptophyta; Magnoliopsida; Fabales; Fabaceae. The record is from RNAcentral.